UGGGGAAUAUUGCACAAUGGGCGGAAGCCUGAUGCAGCGACGCCGCGUGAGGGAUGACGGCCUUCGGGUUGUAAACCUCUUUCAGCAGGGACGAAGCGAGAGUGACGGUACCUGCAGAAGAAGCACCGGCCAACUACGUGCCAGCAGCCGCGGUAAGACGUAGGGUGCGAGCGUUGUCCGGAUUUAUUGGGCGUAAAGAGCUCGUAGGCGGCUUGUCGCGUCGACUGUGAAAACCCGCGGCUCAACCGCGGGCCUGCAGUCGAUACGGGCAGGCUAGAGUUCGGUAGGGGAGAUCGGAAUUCCUGGUGUAGCGGUGAAAUGCGCAGAUAUCAGGAGGAACACCGAUGGCGAAGGCAGAUCUCUGGGCCGAUACUGACGCUGAGGAGCGAAAGCGUGGGGAGCGAACA
RNAcentral lists this ribosomal RNA (407 nucleotides) under uncultured bacterium. Its description in RNAcentral is "bacterial SSU rRNA". It matches the Rfam family "Bacterial small subunit ribosomal RNA", at positions 355 to 774 of the family's 1533-position model. The record is from RNAcentral.